UGGGGAAUAUUGCACAAUGGGCGCAAGCCUAAUGCAGCGACGCCGCGUGAGGGAUGACGGCCUUCGGGUUGUAAACCUCUGUUAGCAGGGAAGAAGAGAAAUUGACGGUACCUGCAGAGAAAGCGCCGGCUAACUACGUGCCAGCAGCCGCGGUAAUACGUAGGGCGCGAGCGUUGUCCGGAAUUAUUGGGCGUAAAGAGCUUGUAGGCGGUUUGUCGCGUCUGCUGUGAAAGGCCGGGGCUUAACCCCGUGUAUUGCAGUGGGUACGGGCAGACUAGAGUGCAGUAGGGGAGACUGGAACUCCUGGUGUAGCGGUGGAAUGCGCAGAUAUCAGGAAGAACACCGAUGGCGAAGGCAGGUCUCUGGGCUGUAACUGACGCUGAGAAGCGAAAGCAUGGGGAGCGAACAGGAUUAGAUACCCUGGUAGUCCAUGCCGUAAACGUUGGGCACUAGGUGUGGGGGACAUUCCACGUUUUCCGCGCCGUAGCUAACGCAUUAAGUGCCCCGCCUGGGGAGUACGGCCGCAAGGCUA
RNAcentral lists this ribosomal RNA (532 nucleotides) under uncultured bacterium. Its description in RNAcentral is "bacterial SSU rRNA". It matches the Rfam family "Bacterial small subunit ribosomal RNA", at positions 355 to 896 of the family's 1533-position model. The record is from RNAcentral.